RNAcentral lists this ribosomal RNA (492 nucleotides) under uncultured bacterium. RNAcentral's name for it is "partial 16S ribosomal RNA". It matches the Rfam family "Bacterial small subunit ribosomal RNA", at positions 29 to 507 of the family's 1533-position model. The record is from RNAcentral.
AGUGAACGCUGGCGGUAGGCCUAACACAUGCAAGUCGAACGGCAGCACAGUAAGAGCUUGCUCUUACGGGUGGCGAGUGGCGGACGGGUGAGGAAUACAUCGGAAUCUACUUUUUCGUGGGGGAUAACGUAGGGAAACUUACGCUAAUACCGCAUACGACCUACGGGUGAAAGCAGGGGAUCUUCGGACCUUUCGCGAUUGAAUGAGCCGAUGUCGGAUUAGCUAGUUGGCGGGGUAAAGGCACACCAAGGCGACGAUCCGUAGCUGGUCUGAGAGGAUGAUCAGCCACACUGGAACUGAGACACGGUCCAGACUCCUACGGGAGGCAGCAGUGGGGAAUAUUGGACAAUGGGCGCAAGCCUGAUGCAGCCAUGCCGCGUGAGUGAAGAAGGCCUUCGGGUUGUAAAGCCCAUUUGUUGGGAAAGAAAAGCAGCAGGUUAAUACCCCGCUGUUCUGACGGUACCCAAAGAAUAAGCACCGGCUAACUUCGUG